GAUGAACGCUGGCGGCGUGCCUAAUACAUGCAAGUCGAGCGAACGGACGAGAAGCUUGCUUUUCUGAUGUUAGCGGCGGACGGGUGAGUAACACGUGGAUAACCUACCUAUAAGACUGGGAUAACUUCGGGAAACCGGAGCUAAUACCGGAUAAUAUUUUGAGCCGCAUGGUUCAAAAGUGAAAGACGGUCUUGCUGUCACUUAUAGAUGGAUCCGCGCUGCAUUAGCUAGUUGGUAAGGUAACGGCUUACCAAGGCCACGAUGCAUAGCCGACCUGAGAGGGUGAUCGGCCACACUGGAACUGAGACACGGUCCAGACUCCUACGGGAGGCAGCAGUAGGGAAUCUUCCGCAAUGGGGGAAAGCCUGACGGAGCAACGCCGCGUGAGUGAUGAUGGUCUUCGGAUCGUAAAACUCUGUUAUUAGGGAAAAACAUAUGUGUAAGUAACUGUGCACAUCUUGACGGUACCUAAUCAGAAAGCCACGGCUAACUACGUG
RNAcentral lists this ribosomal RNA (497 nucleotides) under uncultured bacterium. RNAcentral describes it as "partial 16S ribosomal RNA". It matches the Rfam family "Bacterial small subunit ribosomal RNA", at positions 28 to 507 of the family's 1533-position model. The record is from RNAcentral.